CUACGGGACGCUCCAGUGAGGAAUAUUGGUCAAUGGACGCAAGUCUGAACCAGCCAUGCCGCGUGCAGGAUGACGGCUCUAUGAGUUGUAAACUGCUUUUGUACGAGGGUAAACGCAGAUACGUGUAUCUGUCUGAAAGUAUCGUACGAAUAAGGAUCGGCUAACUCCGUGCCAGCAGCCGCGGUAAUACGGAGGAUUCAAGCGUUAUCCGGAUUUAUUGGGUUUAAAGGGUGCGUAGGCGGUUUGAUGAGUUAGAGGUGAAAUUUCGGGGCUCAACCCUGAACGUGCCUCUAAUACUGUUGAGCUAGAGAGUAGUUGCGGUAGGCGGAAUGUAUGGUGUAGCGGUGAAAUGCUUAGAGAUCAUACAGAACACCGAUUGCGAAGGCAGCUUACCAAACUAUAUCUGACGUUGAGGCACGAAAGCGUGGGGAGCAAACAGGAUUAGAUACCCCCGUAGUC
Molecule: ribosomal RNA, 459 nt
Filed under: uncultured bacterium
Lineage: Bacteria
Description: partial 16S ribosomal RNA
Rfam family: Bacterial small subunit ribosomal RNA
Source: RNAcentral